This 467-nucleotide ribosomal RNA is filed under the name uncultured bacterium. Its description in RNAcentral is "partial 16S ribosomal RNA". It matches the Rfam family "Bacterial small subunit ribosomal RNA", at positions 28 to 507 of the family's 1533-position model. The record is from RNAcentral.
GAUGAACGCUGGCGGCGUGCUUAACACAUGCAAGUCGAACGGAAAGGCUCCUGCUUGCAGGGGUACUCGAGUGGCGAACGGGUGAGUAACACGUGGGUGAUCUGCCCUGCACUUCGGGAUAAGCCUGAGAAACUGGGUCUAAUACCGGAUAGGACCACAUUUUGGAUGGUGUGGUGGAAAGUUUUUCGGUGUGGGAUGAGCUCGCGGCCUAUCAGCUUGUUGGUGGGGUAAUGGCCUACCAAGGCGUCGACGGGUAGCCGGCCUGAGAGGGUGUACGGCCACAUUGGGACUGAGAUACGGCCCAGACUCCUAAGGGAGGCAGCAGUGGGGAAUAUUGCACAAUGGGCGCAAGCCUGAUGCAGCGACGCCGCGUGGGGGAUGACGGCCUUCGGGUUGUAAACUCCUUUCGCUAGGGACGAAGCGUUUUUGUGACGGUACCUGGAGAAGAAGCACCGGCUAACUACGUG